CUAAAUAUGCUCUAAUUAAAUUUUAAUAAUGCUAAACAAGCUUUAAUCAAAUUCAAAAUAAAUCUUAAAUAAAUUACAAAAGAAACAAUAAGAAAUCUUAAAGGAGCUCAAAGAAAAUCCACAAUAAAUUUUAAAAGAAUCUUUAAGAAGUUCUAAAAAAUAUUAAAAUAAUCACAAAUAUAUCUUAAAUAAAUCUCAACAAAGUUUUAAUUUAAUCCUAGUUGAAAUCCUAGAAGUCUUUAAUUUAACCUUAAAAAAAUUCUAAAUCUUAAAUCAAAUCCUAAAUCAAAUUCUAAAUUCUAAAUCAAAUCCUAAAUCAAAUCCUAGACAAAUCUUAAAUCCUAAAUCAAAUCCUAACCAAUUUCUAAUCAAUUCAAUCUAAUCCUAGCACUAUUUAAAACCUUGAUAUCUAUCAAUCAAAUGUUUGGUCUUAUCUA
Molecule: long non-coding RNA, 437 nt
Filed under: Physcomitrium patens
Lineage: Eukaryota; Viridiplantae; Streptophyta; Bryopsida; Funariales; Funariaceae
Description: long non-coding RNA (PPAT_LNC001188)
Source: RNAcentral